GGUGAGGCUACCAUGAGACUGAAGAGAGAUGAGUCGGCGUUUAGGAUCGAAGAACUUGUCAGAUCUGGUUUUUACUUUUUUCAGAUCUUCGACGAGAGCUUCAUGAUGACGGCGCGUGUACCGGUCUGACAACUUCUCUAGCUCGGAUCUACUUUCUAGCGUGGAGGUGAGACAGAAGGAGAAGAUUUUUACAGUGCGGUGGAUGAAGGAUUGUACCCUGGUCCUCAGGGACAUCACGCUCCAAGAUACAAGCUGAUGGAGUAGUCAACCGGAGGUCUGGUUUUGGUCGGGAAGCGUGGCGAAGCUCUAUUUCCCUGCACCGGUGUUUGGUCUGAGGUCAUCCCGGUGGUAUGAGUUUUGCACCUUCUGAAGCUGUGAUACAAGGCACCGGUCAUGGUAACCGCACGUCAAGGUCUGUCUUUCAGUCCGGAUGUAACUGUCCGG
Molecule: long non-coding RNA, 444 nt
Filed under: Brassica napus (rape)
Lineage: Eukaryota; Viridiplantae; Streptophyta; Magnoliopsida; Brassicales; Brassicaceae
Description: long non-coding RNA (BNAP_LNC019221)
Source: RNAcentral